This is an RNA transcript of Cornus florida, 3136 nucleotides long. It is a transcript of the gene named disease resistance protein L6-like, with no coding region annotated. NCBI's taxonomy places the organism in Eukaryota, Viridiplantae, Streptophyta, Magnoliopsida, Cornales, Cornaceae. The transcript is spliced from 3 exons. The record is from RefSeq and is a predicted model, not a curated record.
ACUUGACUGGUAAAAGUGAAAGUAAAACUUGGCUAUUAGGGUUGUCUCGAGCUUUAUCAACACCCAAAUCCCCAAAUCCCCAAAUCCAUUGCUCAGACUCACACAGUGUGAGAUUCAAUCUGAGCUUCUUUCCCAACAACCAAGAGAGAUCUGGGAUCAGAUCAUCCACAAUAUCGUCAAUGGAGCCUGAAAGAAAGAGGAAAUUUAUAAAAUCUUUAAUCGCGUCUGUAGGAGGCAAAUACAAAGUCUUCUUGAGUUUCAGAGUCACAGACAGUCGCUGUAGCGAUGUUCGAACUCCAGCAGUUUUGAGAUCGUCGUAGAGAUGUUCCGUGAAGCUGUAGCGACUGUCUGUGCCUCUAAAACUCAAGAAGAUAACGAGUUUCGCAGAGGAGAUGAGUUCGGCCGGACCCUCAAAGCAAUUGAAGAGUCGAAGAUCGCAAUCCCAAUCUUGUCUAAAAACUACGCUUCCUGUAAAUGGUGCCUCACCGAGCUCGCCACAAUAGUGGAGUGCAGGAGAACUAAGGGACAAGUGGUUCUACCUAUCUUCUACGACUUCUCUCCGUCCUCUGUGCGGCGCCAAUCAGGGAGUUUCGAGGAGGCCUUUCGCGCGCUCACGAAGAAUCACUGAUAGAGGUUGCUGACAUUCCAGGUUUUAAUGUUGAUCAUGAUAUUGGGUAUUGUGGAAAACUAAUAGAGGCCAUUGUUCAAAGAAUUGAUGAUCAUGCUGAUGAAGUGAUUAGAUUAUUAGGCAUCGGCUCCAGUGAUACGGAUUGUUGGUAUCCAUGGCAUGGGUGGUAUUGGCAAGACAACUAUUGUCAAGUUAAUCUACGAUGCUUUCAAAGGGGGCUUUGAUUGUCAUAGCUUCCUUGCAGAUAUUCGAGAGACAGCGCAGCAAUUUCAUGGUCUUGUUCAUUUGCAGCAAAAGCUUCUCACUGACACCCAAAAACGGUGUCCUGCCAUUUCUGAUGUUGAAGGUGGAUUGGAUGUGAUUAGAAAAAUAUUUCGCAAAAAGAAAGUUCUUGUUGUUCUUGACGAUGUGAUUGAAAUCUUUCAAUUUUAUUGGCUUGUGGGAAGUAGUGAUUGGUUUGGUUCAGGAAGUAAGAUCAUAGUUACAAGUAAAGAUAAGAGUGUUUUAAAUGAUAUUAAAGUGGAUGCGACUUUUGAACCUCCACUUAUGAACCCUGCACGAUCUCUUCAACUUUUCAGUAUUCAUGCGUUUGGAAGGAAGUUUCCUCCGGAAGGCUAUGUGAGUAUCUCUAACAAGGUUGCAUCUAAUGCUGCUGGGCUUCCUCUAACUCUUGAGGUCAUGGGUUCAUUUCUAUAUCAAAAAGUAAAAGUGGUAUGGGAGGAUACACUGGAGAAGCUGAAGAAAAUAUCUCAUGAUGAAGUUGAGAGAAAGUGGAGGAUAAUUUAUGAAGAAUUAAAUUACGAGCAAUUUUUUACUGGGAUAGAUACAACAACUGCAUUUUACAUGUGGGACGCUUGUGGCUUUCAUCCCGGAAUUGAAUUUGAUGCCCUUUGUCGGUAAAAGUGGAAGGAGAUGCUAAUAAGCUUGGGAUGCAUGAUCAGUUUAGAACUCUCGGUAGGAAAAUUGUCUGUGAAGAAGAACUUUUGAGAAAUUGUAGUAGGUUGUGGAAACAUGAGGAUGCCUUGAAUAUAUUGGAGGGACGGAAGGGAACCAAAAAGGUUGAAGCCCUAACUCUUUGCUUUGCAUUGGGGUCUGGAAAGGAGCCUCGCUUUGAAAGUAAGGAAUUCUCAAAACUAACAAAUAUAAGGUAUCUCCGAGCUGAUGGCAUAGAGCUUAUUAGGGAUUUUAAAAGCCUAUUUCCCAAUUUAAGAUGGCUUCGUUGGCGUGGCUGCCCACCGUUUUUUAAACCGACCAAUUCUCAUUUGGAGAAUUUAGCCAUUCUUGAUCUAUCUGAUAGCAGAAUCACUGAAGACUGGGAGGGUUGGAGUCAAAUCAAGGUCUUGUAUAGUCCCUACUUUUGUUUCUUCUAUCUCAUCAUCUACUGGAUUAAAAUUAAUCUUUUUCUGUUAUUUAUUUAAUUUUUAAACAGAUGGCAAAUAAGUUGAAAGUUCUAGAACUGGCUAAUUGUGCUUUAAGGAGAACUCCAGACUUUUCAUCAUAUGCAACUCUAAAGAUAUUGAUUCUUCAAGGUUGUAGAAAUUUGGUUGAUAUUGAUUCCGUAUGUGAUCUGAAGAAUUUAGAAGUGCUGGACAUUUCAUAUGUUGCUGGUAUAAGGAGGUUACCUGUUGAAAUUGAGGAGUUACGGAAGUUAGGGAGGUUGGAAGUGAUAGGUUUUGAAACAUUGAAGUUAGCUGAAGACAUUCCUAGUAAGAGGACUGCCGAACACCAAGUGCGACUGACCGUGAUUGGAUAGAUUUAAAUGAAUUUGACUUCCUCUGUUUUUGUUUUUAUUCUUUUAAAGGGUUUUUGAUCAUGUAUUAUUAGUAUUUUUACUAUUUUUAUUUAACUUUUUAUCCAUCUUAUCUUUUAUUAAUAGUCUAAAUGUAUUCUAGUCUGUAAGGUAAUGAGAGAAAGAUAGUGGGAAAUAUAACGGUUAAUGAAGAGUCACUAAAAAGGUAGAAAAUCAACACAUUGGCUGUAAACACGUGACUUGAAACAUUUGUAAAAAGGGAUGAAAUCAAAUCCAUUUAGAACUAUCCAAUUGGAGCUGCGACUGCGGAUCCACAAUUUGCAAUUGUGUUAGCAGUCCUCUUCCUAGUAAUAAGGGGGAAUCCAUAAUCUUUGAGAUUCUUGAGCUUUUAUGAUACCAAAAUUCGAAUCCUGCAAUGAGCUUUUGGGAGCUCUCUUGCCUCCACAACUGGAAACUGGGAAGCUGCAUCAUCUUACAAUUUCUGAUUAGGGGGUUGUGAGCUGUGAGCGUGUGGAGAUUCCUGUAGAUAUUUGGAAAUUAUGCAAAUUGGAGAAAUUGACAUUGGAUUCUAUACCAGAAGAUAUCGGUGUCCUUUCUCGGUUGAAGGUUUUCUAUGUAAAAUUCUGUGAUGAUCUUUAGUAUAUAUUUAGGCUACUGUUCCACACAAUUGGGGCAAUGGAAGUGCUCAGGCAUGUCGAAUAAAAGGAAAUACUUUUGAAACGAUCAGAUGAUUGUGAAAUAUUCUUUAUGCCUUCGAU